GUCGGGAGUCUUGCACAAUGGGGGAAACCCUGAUGCAGCGACGUCGCGUGUGGGAUGAAGUAUUUCGGUAUGUAAACCACUUUUGCGGGGGGCGAAAAAAAUGACGGUACCCCGCGAAUAAGCCCCGGCUAACUACGUGCCAGCAGCCGCGGUAAUACGUAGGGGGCGAGCGUUGCUCGGAUUGACUGGGCGUAAAGCGCGCGUAGGCGGUCCAUUAAGUGUGCGGUGAAAUUCAGAGGCUCAACCUCUGUCCCGCCGCGCAAACUGGUGGUCUUGAGAUUGGGAGGGGGAUGCGGAAUUCCUGGUGUAGCGGUGAAAUGCAUUGAUAUCAGGAGGAACACCGGCGGCGAAAGCGGCAUCCUGGCUUAUAUCUGACGCUGAGGCGCGAAAGCGUGGGUAGCAAACGGGAUUAGAAACCCGAGUAGUCC
Molecule: ribosomal RNA, 428 nt
Filed under: uncultured bacterium
Lineage: Bacteria
Description: partial 16S ribosomal RNA
Rfam family: Bacterial small subunit ribosomal RNA
Source: RNAcentral